GGCCUUGACAUACUAAGAACUUUCCCAGAGAUGGAUUGGUGCCUUCGGGAACUUAGAUACAGGUGCUGCAUGGCUGUCGUCAGCUCGUGUCGUGAGAUGUUGGGUUAAGUCCGCAACGAGCGCAACCCUUUUCCUUAUUUGCCAGCGGGUAAUGCCGGGAACUUUAAGGAUACUGCCAGUGACAAACUGGAGGAAGGCGGGGACGACGUCAAGUCAUCAUGGCCCUUACGGCCAGGGCUACACACGUGCUACAAUGGUCGGUACAAAGGGUUGCUACCUCGCGAGAGGAUGCUAAUCUCAAAAAGCCGAUCGUAGUCCGGAUCGCAGUCUGCAACUCGACUGCGUGAAGUCGGAAUCGCUAGUAAUCGCGGAUCAGAAUGCCGCGGUGAAUACGUUCCCGGGCCUUGUACACACCGCCCGUCACACCAUGGGAGUUUGUUGCACCAGAAGUAGGUAGUCUAACCGCAAGGAGGACGCUUACCACGGUGUGGCCGAUGACUGGGGUGAAGUCGUAACAAGGUAAGCGUAGAUGA
Molecule: ribosomal RNA, 533 nt
Filed under: uncultured bacterium
Lineage: Bacteria
Description: bacterial SSU rRNA
Rfam family: Bacterial small subunit ribosomal RNA
Source: RNAcentral